This 73-nucleotide transfer RNA is filed under the name Strongylocentrotus purpuratus (purple sea urchin). It matches the Rfam family "tRNA". From Rfam's summary of the family: Transfer RNA (tRNA) molecules are approximately 80 nucleotides in length. The record is from Rfam by way of RNAcentral. Lineage: Eukaryota; Metazoa; Echinodermata; Echinoidea; Camarodonta; Strongylocentrotidae.
GGCAUGGUGGCUCAGUGGUAUAGAGCGCCCGCCUCAUGAAAGGGAGGUGGGGGUUCGAACCCCGGCCGAGUCA